GACGAACGCUGGCGGCGUGCCUAAUACAUGCAAGUCGAGCGAAGUUUUUCUGGUGCUUGCACUAGAAAAACUUAGCGGCGAACGGGUGAGUAACACGUAAAGAACCUGCCUCAUAGACUGGGACAACUAUUGGAAACGAUAGCUAAUACCGGAUAACAGUAUUUCUCGCAUGAGAGAUAUUUAAAAGUUGGUUAUGCUAACACUAUGAGAUGGCUUUGCGGUGCAUUAGCUAGUUGGUGGGGUAAAGGCCCACCAAGGCGACGAUGCAUAGCCGACCUGAGGGGGUGAUCGGCCACACUGGGACUGAGACACGGCCCAGACUCCUACGGGAGGCAGCAGUAGGGAAUCUUCCGCAAUGGGCGAAAGCCUGACGGAGCAACGCCGCGUGAGUGAAGAAGGAUUUCGGCUCGUAAAGCUCUGUUGUUAGGGAAGAAUGGAUAUGUAGUAACUAUACAUGUAAGAGACGGUACCUAACCAGAAAGCCACGGCUAACUACGUG
Molecule: ribosomal RNA, 499 nt
Filed under: uncultured bacterium
Lineage: Bacteria
Description: partial 16S ribosomal RNA
Rfam family: Bacterial small subunit ribosomal RNA
Source: RNAcentral